UGGGGAAUAUUGCACAAUGGGCGCAAGCCUGAUGCAGCCAUGCCGCGUGUAUGAAGAAGGCCUUCGGGUUGUAAAGUACUUUCAGCGGGGAGGAAGGGAGUAAAGUUAAUACCUUUGCUCAUUGACGUUACCCGCAGAAGAAGCACCGGCUAACUCCGUGCCAGCAGCCGCGGUAAUACGGAGGGUGCAAGCGUUAAUCGGAAUUACUGGGCGUAAAGCGCACGCAGGCGGUUUGUUAAGUCAGAUGUGAAAUCCCCGGGCUCAACCUGGGAACUGCAUCUGAGACUGGCAAGCUUGAGUCUCGUAGAGGGGGGUAGAAUUCCAGGUGUAGCGGUGAAAUGCGUAGAGAUAUGGAGGAAUACCGGUGGCGAAGGCGGACCCCGGGACGAAGACAGACGCUCAGGUGCGAAAGCGUGGGGAGCAAACAGG
RNAcentral lists this ribosomal RNA (429 nucleotides) under Chloroflexota bacterium. Its description in RNAcentral is "Chloroflexi bacterium partial 16S ribosomal RNA". It matches the Rfam family "Bacterial small subunit ribosomal RNA", at positions 355 to 776 of the family's 1533-position model. The record is from RNAcentral. Lineage: Bacteria; Bacillati; Chloroflexota.